Molecule: ribosomal RNA, 890 nt
Filed under: Halomonas sp. H7(2011)
Lineage: Bacteria; Pseudomonadati; Pseudomonadota; Gammaproteobacteria; Oceanospirillales; Halomonadaceae
Description: bacterial SSU rRNA
Rfam family: Bacterial small subunit ribosomal RNA
Source: RNAcentral
AGCGGCGGACGGGUGAGUAAUGCAUAGGAAUCUGCCCGAUAGUGGGGGAUAACCUGGGGAAACCCAGGCUAAUACCGCAUACGUCCUACGGGAGAAAGGGGGCUUCGGCUCCCGCUAUUGGAUGAGCCUAUGUCGGAUUAGCUAGUUGGUGAGGUAAAGGCUCACCAAGGCAACGAUCCGUAGCUGGUCUGAGAGGAUGAUCAGCCACAUCGGGACUGAGACACGGCCCGAACUCCUACGGGAGGCAGCAGUGGGGAAUAUUGGACAAUGGGCGCAAGCCUGAUCCAGCCAUGCCGCGUGUGUGAAGAAGGCCCUCGGGUUGUAAAGCACUUUCAGCGAGGAAGAACGCCUAGCGGUUAAUACCCGCUAGGAAAGACAUCACUCGCAGAAGAAGCACCGGCUAACUCCGUGCCAGCAGCCGCGGUAAUACGGAGGGUGCAAGCGUUAAUCGGAAUUACUGGGCGUAAAGCGCGCGUAGGUGGCUUGAUAAGCCGGUUGUGAAAGCCCCGGGCUCAACCUGGGAACGGCAUCCGGAACUGUCAAGCUAGAGUGCAGGAGAGGAAGGUAGAAUUCCCGGUGUAGCGGUGAAAUGCGUAGAGAUCGGGAGGAAUACCAGUGGCGAAGGCGGCCUUCUGGACUGACACUGACACUGAGGUGCGAAAGCGUGGGUAGCAAACAGGAUUAGAUACCCUGGUAGUCCACGCCAUAAACGAUGUCGACCAGCCGUUGGGUGCCUAGCGCACUUUGUGGCGAAGUUAACGCGAUAAGUCGACCGCCUGGGGAGUACGGCCGCAAGGUUAAAACUCAAAUGAAUUGACAGGGGCCCGCACAAGCGGUGGAGCAUGUGGUUUAAUUCGAUGCAACGCGAAGACUUUACCUACUCAUGACAU